Molecule: long non-coding RNA, 281 nt
Organism: Apis dorsata (giant honeybee)
Lineage: Eukaryota; Metazoa; Arthropoda; Insecta; Hymenoptera; Apidae
Exons: 2
Source: RefSeq, a predicted model, not a curated record
AAAACUAUAUAAUUUUGCAGAUAUUGGAUAAAUUUUGUAUAUUUGACAGAUAUUUACGAUCGCCGUUGAAUGUUCAUCAUUCGAUUUAUUAUGGCUGAAGAUAUUUAUUCAUCAAAAAGAAAAUAAGAACUAAUAAUAAGAAACAUUGACCGCCGUUAAGAAGUUUGUCCACGAACUUAUGAUUAGUACUCACCAUUACUGAUUUCUUGUCACUAUGAUGAAGAUUGCCACGAAUGGAAAAAGUUAUAAUGUUUUCUUGAACAUAAAAUGUUCAAGCAGAA